UCACGAAAGCAGGUUGCACUAGAAGUCGUUGAGCUGACCGCAAGGAGGCCAGCGCCCAAGGUGUGGCUUGUGAUUGGGGUG
Molecule: ribosomal RNA, 81 nt
Filed under: uncultured bacterium
Lineage: Bacteria
Description: partial 16S ribosomal RNA
Source: RNAcentral